Molecule: unclassified non-coding RNA, 654 nt
Filed under: Hevea brasiliensis (rubber tree)
Lineage: Eukaryota; Viridiplantae; Streptophyta; Magnoliopsida; Malpighiales; Euphorbiaceae
Source: RNAcentral
UUUCUGUAUGUAGGACAUCCAAAUAAAUUAUAUGGGAAUGCCUAUUGAAGACUAUGGAAAGUUAGAUACAAGACAUUUUAUUUCCUGAGUGGUUUUAGUAGUUAUAGACAUUUGAUCCAUUUACUUUCCCUUUAUAUUUGAAUUAAUACACAUGGUUGAGGGGGGGAAAGAAGCAACUCAGAGUCUGUCUUUGUUUUUCACCUUUGAUCUAUUUCCUCCAAUUUUAUUGCAUUAUCUUUUGGAUGAGAAUGGGCAUAAGUUUGUGAAACUUGGCAAGCGACUAGUUUUGGAGAUGGCGAGAAGAAGUUUAGUCAGCUGUUGCACAUUUAAUUUACUUCAUGGUGGCAUUGGAUUAGGAUAUACGAGCCCUAAGCUUCAACUCAUCCAUGGUUAGGAAGGUUGCUUCCUUAACAUUGCUGAACUAGCAGUUAAGAAGUGAAUGUUAGAUAGUUCUUCAUCCUUUUUAAAAUAAAUUGCAAAUCUCUAUCUGAAGCCAUCACUGGCAAGGGAAGUUCAUGUUGCUAGUUGCUGAUGCGGACAUGUGCUUAUUUCAUGGGUGCCAUGUUUAUUGCUGCUAUUAUAUCUGUUAGAAUUAUGACUCAAAAUUCUAAUGGGAUUUGGAGAGAGAUUUUUUCCUAAUUUGAGUGGGAGAAA